Molecule: ribosomal RNA, 208 nt
Filed under: uncultured bacterium
Lineage: Bacteria
Description: partial 16S ribosomal RNA
Rfam family: Bacterial small subunit ribosomal RNA
Source: RNAcentral
CUCGUAGGCGGCCAACUAAGUCGGACGUGAAAUCCCCAGGCUCAACCUGGGAACUGCGUCCGAUACUGGAUGGCUUGAAUCCGGGAGAGGGAUGCAGAAUUCCAGGUGUAGCGGUGAAAUGCGUAGAUAUCUGGAGGAAUACCGGUGGCGAAGGCGGCAUCCUGGACCGGCAUUGACGCUGAGGAGCGAAAGCCGAGGGGAGCAAACG